RNAcentral lists this signal recognition particle RNA (295 nucleotides) under Solanum tuberosum (potato). Its description in RNAcentral is "SRP RNA Plant_SRP". It matches the Rfam family "Plant signal recognition particle RNA". The record is from Rfam by way of RNAcentral. Lineage: Eukaryota; Viridiplantae; Streptophyta; Magnoliopsida; Solanales; Solanaceae.
GCCGAGCCUUGUAAUGUGAGCUUGUAACCUAAGUGGGGGUAACAAUGUGGUGGAAUGUUGGGCUGAUCUUGAUGGUUGGGCUUGGUGGACUAAUCUCUGACCUGCCCUAUCCAAGCACAGAGUUGGGCUAUGUGGUCCAAAUGAAAGUAUGGGCUGCUUGGCUCUUAGAGUGGGGUAAAUUGAGUGAGACUGGUUUCACAGAGCAACGAAUAGUCCUCGCUUUGUGAUGUGAAAGGAUAAUGAGCUGGUGCUCUCUAAGCUCAAUAAAAAAAUUGUUGAAAAUAUAUCUAUUUUA